UAUGUGCCUGAUAUUGUUUUUUAAAUGUGUUAAUGUAUAACAAGCAGUUGGCAUUAUGUGCCUGACAUUAUGUGUCUUUUAUAAUUUAUAACACCCAGUUGGCAUUAUGUGCCUGACAUUAUGUGUCUUUUAUAAUUAUAACACCCAGUUGGCAUUAUGUGCCUGAUAUUAUGUGUCUUUAAUAAUUUAUAACACCUAGUUGGCAUUAUGUGCCUGACAUGUGUUUUGAUAACAUUACUUGAUAAUUAUAUAUAUUAAAUGGAUAGGUAAUAUAUAAUCAAACUUAUUUCAGCCUGUAAAAUGUCGGAUGUUUGGAUUAUAGGCUCUUCAUUUAUUAGGGAUGCCUUCAAACAGCAUGCCGCAGAAGUGAGGACUUAAAUUUCUUGGUUAUAAUGUUAUAUGGGAAUAUCAGGGGGGCAUGGAAGUUUCUGAUUUAAAACCUUCGAUAGAAUACUUGCUUGAGUUUAAAAAUGCGCAUUUUUUUUGAUAUUACACUGUGGCGCGAACGAUUUAGGAAAUCGACCUUCAGUUGAAAUCAUAUGGGACAUCAAAAACUUUAUAACAGGGACUUUACUGGAAAAAAUGCCUGUUACUACAGAUAUUACCAAGAAGGUCAUGGAGAUAUGUCCAAUGUAACAAAACUGCAAAUAAAACCCGCAUGCGUAUAAAUAGUUGUAUCAGUACAUUUGUUAUUAAACUCGGGGGUUAUUAUAUUCGUUACCCUGAUUGACCUUUUCGAGGACCUAGCUGGGUGCCGUUUUCCGGUACGUUGCCCUUUUAGCUCUGGGGAAUUACACCAAAUGAAGUACAUAACACAGUUACGAGAUAUUUCUAUUUUUCUAUCAUUAUUUAACCGUUUAAGGUGAAAAAAAUUGAUGUUUUUAAAAAUUAUCAAUAUUCGUUUAAUAUCUAUUGCAAAUUAUUUAAAAAAAACAAAACAAAUUGUUUAUAAUGAAAAUCAAUAAAAUUCAAACAGACGUAGUGGAAUCUUCCAUAAUAAAUAAGGUUAUUUUCUGCGUAAACUUGUGUAUUUACUUUAUUUUUGUAUGGAAUUAUUCAUACAAUGAUAUUUAAUUAAUUUCUUAUAAAGAAAUAACUGUUUUAUUUCAAUUUAAUUAAAAAAAAAAAAAAAAAAGGCCGAAAACAUUGAGUUCGCUAUUACACUUCAUUAGGUGAAUUCCCCGGGGCUGUGUACGGAGGGUGCCGGGGGCGGCGUUUGGCUGGGUUUUCGAAUUCGUGAAUAUUACAGAAAACCCUAGGUUGUAUAGGCCGGAUGGCACACAUCUGUCGGACUUUGGUAACCACGUUUUAUUGAAUACAAUAUCGGGCGCUCUCAACACAUUCACGUCCAUGGCUGGGUAGGGCAAAAUUGUAGCUGUGGUAGCCCGCUUUGGCGGAAGCCCACAGUCAAAUGUUUCACUUUGCUUGUUGGCUUUUUGGCAUGUGCUACCACGUUUUUGCAACCGUUGCCGGGGCAAAAACAGUUAUAGUAAAGACAUUUAGUAGUCUUAAAUCGAAACACAUAGACAUUUCAAUAGGUUAAAUAAUUAAAAUGCUUUUAUCCAGCCAUGGCCAUUUUCAUGCCAACACGUUUUUGUUAAUAAAUACCAGUACGUUUUUAGACUGAUUUCUCUUUUCUUUUAUUCCCAAGUUGUAAUGUUUGAAUAAUAUUCGAUUUAUCCGCUAGAGGAUUAAAUCUUUUAUUCAAAUCUUACAACUUAACAUUUUUUAUAAUAACACCCCAGUAGGGCCUCAAAAAGAGUUGUCAGGGGAGACAACUUACACUUGAAUAUGUCAUAUAUAAGGCAGAGCAAAUUCUGGGAACGGUCUUUCAAUCGUGGCUCACCAUAGAAGAGAUAACACUAUAUUAGCACGUCAUGGCUGGAACAGAAAGAUAUAGAAAAAGGAGAAUGCUUAUAAUUCUCAGCGACCGUUAUCGGAGCUGAUCAAUUUGUAAAACAGACAUGUAAAGUGAUUUCAUCAUCUGUACCUGUGUACCCUGAGUUGAAGCAUGUGCUACCACGUUUUUGCAACCGUUGCCGGGGCAAAAACAGUUAUAGUAAAGACAUUUAGUAGUCUUAAAUCGAAACACAUAGACAUUUCAAUAGGUUAAAUAAUUAAAAUGCUUUUAUCCAGCCAUGGCCAUUUUCAUGCCAACACGUUUUUGUUAAUAAAUACCAGUACGUUUUUA
Long non-coding RNA from Ruditapes philippinarum (Manila clam), 2191 nucleotides. RefSeq lists it as uncharacterized. The record is from RefSeq and is a predicted model, not a curated record. The transcript has 2 exons. Lineage: Eukaryota; Metazoa; Mollusca; Bivalvia; Venerida; Veneridae.